AGCUAGUGAUGGGAGUCGUUGAAGCGGGGGCAGCACUGGCAGAAGUCCCAGCUGUGGCAGAUCCUUUACCCCUGUGCUUCAGUUUCUUUCUGUUGUUUUUCUCUGCCAUGGUGGAGACGUGGACGCGGCAACGCUGGGUUCCUGGGCAGCUGUGCGGUUUUUAUUCAAAAAUCACCAUUCCGAGGAGAGCAAUCUGAGAGAGCGAGAGAGACACAGAGAGAGAGGGAACUGAGGUGUUUUUACAGGGAGAAACGCCAUCAGCAGUGACGCCGAUUCGGAGCACAGUAAACAUCAUGAAAGUUCGGAGUUCAUUCUUCAUCAGGCCUUGUGCACCUCGGCUUGUUGCAAGGGGGCGGGCACAGCAUGGGGCGCCAGAGCUCCCCGCUUCAUCACAUUCAGUAACAGGCCAGCUGUCGCCCUCUUCAGAAGUGGUCAAUAAGCACGGACACACAGUUUGCGCCCACCAGGUAGUUUGGAUCUCCAGGGAGGGAUUUGUUCUGCCAGGUUUUAGGAUCACCUGCAAGUGACAAGAGGCAGGAUGAUGACAUCAGCCAACAGACAAACUGGAGUCCUGAAACACCAGGACAAAUACCAAGAGUCCAUUAAGAGUAACAUAUAUAGUCUGCUAAUUUUUGUUUUGUAAAAUUGGACACAAAAUAAUUCAAAAGCAACACUACUGUCUGGUCACAUUGGCAUGAAUACACAUAAUAAUGUAACAUUUGUACUGUUUUUUUCUUCUGAUGUUGGUGAAUUAACUUUUAACAGUAACUUGAUCAGGAACAAAUACACCCAAAUAGUAUGCUGCCAUGGCAGGGCUUUUUUCCUGGACUGUAUUAUAUCACAGAUAAAUACAUUGACAACAUGCUCACAAUAAAGAAGGCACACAAACAAAUGACCAUUAAAAGGAAGAUCAAAAUCAAAUGAACUAAUCUAAACCAGAAUUUUUGGACAGAGGAUGUUAUUUUACAGAUUAAGUAGCUUUGCUGACAAUUCAGAUAACUGUCACGAACUGGAGAAAUUGGUGAGAUUACAUAAUUAUAUGUGUAACCCAGGAUUAUGUUUGAAUUGACUGUUCUGGGAUUAUAAUAAAAUAAAUGAAUAAAACAU
Cynoglossus semilaevis (tongue sole) is the source of this 1107-nucleotide long non-coding RNA. RefSeq lists it as uncharacterized. The record is from RefSeq and is a predicted model, not a curated record. The transcript has 3 exons. Lineage: Eukaryota; Metazoa; Chordata; Actinopteri; Pleuronectiformes; Cynoglossidae.